UACGGGGGGAGCAAGCGUUGUUCGGAUUUACUGGGCGUAAAGGGCGCGUAGGCGGCCAGCACAAGUCAGUUGUGAAAUCUCCGAGCUUAACUCGGAAAGGUCAACUGAUACUGUGCGGCUAGAGUGCGGAAGGGGCUACUGGAAUUCUCGGUGUAGCGGUGAAAUGCGUAGAUAUCGAGAGGAACACCUGCGGCGAAGGCGGGUAGCUGGGCCGACACUGACGCUGAUGCGCGAAAGCCAGGGGAGCGAACGGG
RNAcentral lists this ribosomal RNA (254 nucleotides) under uncultured bacterium. RNAcentral's name for it is "partial 16S ribosomal RNA". It matches the Rfam family "Bacterial small subunit ribosomal RNA", at positions 524 to 776 of the family's 1533-position model. The record is from RNAcentral.